UUUGAUCCUGGCUCAGGAUGAACGCUGGCGGCGUGCUUAACACAUGCAAGUCGAACGGGGAUGCAUUAAGAAGGAGUGCUUGCAUUCCGGAAGGAUGUAUCUUAGUGGCGGACGGGUGAGUAACGCGUGGGUAACCUGCCCCAUACCGGGGGAUACCACCUGGAAACAGGUGCUAAUACCGCAUAAGCGCACGGGAGCGCAUGCUCCUGUGUGAAAAACUCCGGUGGUAUGGGAUGGACCCGCGUCUGAUUAGCCAGUUGGCAGGGUAACGGCCUACCAAAGCGACGAUCAGUAGCCGGCCUGAGAGGGUGGACGGCCACAUUGGGACUGAGACACGGCCCAAACUCCUACGGGAGGCAGCAGUGGGGAAUAUUGCACAAUGGGGGAAACCCUGAUGCAGCGACGCCGCGUGAGUGAAGAAGUAUUUCGGUAUGCAAAGCUCUAUCAGCAGGAACGAGACAAGACGGUACCUGACUAAGAAGCCCCGGCUAACUACGUG
Molecule: ribosomal RNA, 499 nt
Filed under: uncultured Lachnospiraceae bacterium
Lineage: Bacteria; Bacillati; Bacillota; Clostridia; Lachnospirales; Lachnospiraceae
Description: bacterial SSU rRNA
Rfam family: Bacterial small subunit ribosomal RNA
Source: RNAcentral